AAUAUAACCAUUUAGCUUGUAACCAAAAUGCUCUUGCCAAAAUCAACGACGUUAAUCGACAAGGAAUGGCGGUAAAAUAGAAAAAUGGAAAUGUUCGAAAAUUGCGUUCAGCAAAUGAAUGUCAUAGAAUAGGAGUUAUAAAAAUUCCACAGAGGAUUGCAAAGGAAAUAUGAAACCACUGCCUUAUAGAAUUUGGAACUAUUCCGAUUACAUUGGCACCAGAGUCUGACAGUAAAUUCGAGAUAUGAUCUACAUAUAUUAUUUUUUAAAUUUGUAAAAUAUAUGUAAAUAAAAUGUAGCAACACUUGUUUUUGGCAUAAAUGUAAACACACAAAUCUCUUGAAUUUGUACCAAGUAAUUUUUAUACUUUCGCAACCUGUUGCUACAGAGUACAAUGGUUUUG
This is a long non-coding RNA of Bactrocera oleae (olive fruit fly), 403 nucleotides long. RefSeq lists it as uncharacterized. The record is from RefSeq and is a predicted model, not a curated record. Lineage: Eukaryota; Metazoa; Arthropoda; Insecta; Diptera; Tephritidae.